UACGUAGGAUGCAAGCGUUGUCCGGAAUUAUUGGGCGUAAAGAGCUCGUAGGCGGUUUGUCGCGUCUGCUGUGAAAACUCGGGGCUCAACUCCGAGCUUGCAGUGGGUACGGGCAGACUAGAGUGCGGUAGGGGAGACUGGAAUUCCUGGUGUAGCGGUGGAAUGCGCAGAUAUCAGGAGGAACACCGGUGGCGAAGGCGGGUCUCUGGGCCGUAACUGACGCUGAGGAGCGAAAGCGUGGGGAGCGAACAGG
This 253-nucleotide ribosomal RNA is filed under the name uncultured bacterium. RNAcentral describes it as "partial 16S ribosomal RNA". It matches the Rfam family "Bacterial small subunit ribosomal RNA", at positions 524 to 776 of the family's 1533-position model. The record is from RNAcentral.